UGCUGGAAUGCAUCGAGCUGNAAAGCUCCGGCGCUCAAGGAUGGGUCUGCGGCCUAUCAGGUAGUAGUGGGUGUAGCGUACCUACUAGCCUACGACGGGUACGGGUUGUGAGAGCAAGAGCCCGGAGAUGGAUUCUGAGACACGAAUCCAGGCCCUACGGGGUGCAGCAGGCGCGAAAACUUUACAAUGCUGGAAACAGCGAUAAGGGGACCUCGAGUGCCAGGUUACAAAUCUGGCUGUCGUGAUGCCUAAAAAGCAUUGCAUAGCAAGGGCCGGGCAAGACCGGUGCCAGCCGCCGCGGUAACACCGGCGGCUCGAGUGGUAACCGUUAUUAUUGGGUCUAAAGGGUCUGUAGCCGGCCGGAUAAGUCUCUUGGGAAAUCUGGCAGCUUAACUGUCAGGCUUUCAGGAGAUACUGUCUGGCUCGAGGCCGGGAGAGGUGAGAGGUACUUCAGGGGUAGGGGUGAAAUCUUGUAAUCCUUGAAGGACCACCAGUGGCGAAGGCGUCUCACCAGAACGGACCUGACGGCAAGGGACGAAAGCUAGGGGCACGAACCGGAUUAGAUACCCGGGUAGUCCUAGCCGUAAACGAUACUCGCUAGGUGUCGGCAACGGUGCGACCGUUGUCGGUGCCGUAGGGAAGCCGUGAAGCGAGCCACCUGGGAAGUACGGCCGCAAGGCUGAAACUUAAAGGAAUUGGCGGGGGAGCAC
RNAcentral lists this ribosomal RNA (710 nucleotides) under uncultured Methanosaeta sp. Its description in RNAcentral is "bacterial SSU rRNA". It matches the Rfam family "Archaeal small subunit ribosomal RNA", at positions 168 to 879 of the family's 1478-position model. The record is from RNAcentral. Lineage: Archaea; Methanobacteriati; Methanobacteriota; Methanomicrobia; Methanotrichales; Methanotrichaceae.